UGGAAAACUUCCGGCGUGUCUACAGCUAAAAACGUGUCAGUUUAUUGUCCCCGAGUCUUAUAGUAAUAUUAUUUCGUCUUUUAGCGAAAACACUGAAAACAUUAGUGGAUAGUAAUAAUGACGUUAAAAUAAUAAUAUUAAUAAUACAAUAUGCAUGCAACAACAACUCUAAACAACUAAUUUGAUCCAUUGUCCACGCUUAAAGACUUAAAUUAAAGGUGCAGGUGCUUUUUCCGGUAUUAACAAUGUCGUUGCUUAAAUUACUUUUACUCGGUUCAACUAGGUACUCGUUUUGAAUUUGUGCGAUACGACAACGGCGAUGUAAAUUUUCCCGUUUCUCUGCGUUGCACACUUUUUUGUCAAUAUACAUACUUUGUCGGUACACAUACUCUGGCAUUGUAAAUUUUUCAUUAUUAUUAUAUUUUCUAUAGACAUUCGUAUACAGCCCUCUACUCGAACGAUCCCUCCGCAGUUAAAUUUUUAAACGGACAUUGUGUUGUGUUAUUGACGCAUGAAAAAAAAAAA
Molecule: non-coding RNA, 525 nt
Organism: Cinara cedri
Lineage: Eukaryota; Metazoa; Arthropoda; Insecta; Hemiptera; Aphididae
Source: the annotation of a GenBank genome assembly